Molecule: ribosomal RNA, 329 nt
Filed under: uncultured cyanobacterium
Lineage: Bacteria; Bacillati; Cyanobacteriota
Description: bacterial SSU rRNA
Rfam family: Bacterial small subunit ribosomal RNA
Source: RNAcentral
GAAAGCCUGACGGAGCAAUACCGCGUGAGGGAGGAAGGCUCUUGGGUUGUAAACCUCUUUUCUCAAGGAAGAACACAAUGACGGUACUUGAGGAAUAAGCAUCGGCUAACUCCGUGCCAGCAGCCGCGGUAAUACGGAGGAUGCAAGCGUUAUCCGGAAUGAUUGGGCGUAAAGCGUCCGCAGGUGGCURUGUAAGUCUGCUGUUAAAUAGUGAGGCUCAACCUCAUAAAGGCAGUGGAAACUACACGGCUAGAGUGCGUUCGGGGCAGAGGGAAUUCCUGGUGUAGCGGUGAAAUGCGUAGAGAUCAGGAAGAACACCGGUGGCGAAA